RNAcentral lists this ribosomal RNA (630 nucleotides) under uncultured bacterium. RNAcentral's name for it is "bacterial SSU rRNA". It matches the Rfam family "Bacterial small subunit ribosomal RNA", at positions 57 to 731 of the family's 1533-position model. The record is from RNAcentral.
GCAAGUCGAACGAUUGCCUUCGGGUGAUAGUGGCGCACGGGUGCGUAACGCGUGGGAAUCUGCCCUUAGGUUCGGAAUAACAGCUGGAAACGGCUGCUAAUACCGGAUGAUAUCGCGAGAUCAAAGAUUUAUCGCCUGAGGAUGAGCCCGCGUUGGAUUAGGUAGUUGGUGGGGUAAAGGCCUACCAAGCCGACGAUCCAUAGCUGGUCUGAGAGGAUGAUCAGCCACACUGGGACUGAGACACGGCCCAGACUCCUACGGGAGGCAGCAGUGGGGAAUAUUGGACAAUGGGCGCAAGCCUGAUCCAGCAAUGCCGCGUGAGUGAUGAAGGCCCUAGGGUUGUAAAGCUCUUUUACCCGGGAAGAUAAUGACUGUACCGGGAGAAUAAGCCCCGGCUAACUCCGUGCCAGCAGCCGCGGUAAUACGGAGGGGGCUAGCGUUGUUCGGAAUUACUGGGCGUAAAGCGCACGUAGGCGGCUUUGUAAGUCAGAGGUGAAAGCCUGGAGCUCAACUCCAGAACUGCCUUUGAGACUGCAUCGCUUGAAUCCAGGAGAGGUCAGUGGAAUUCCGAGUGUAGAGGUGAAAUUCGUAGAUAUUCGGAAGAACACCAGUGGCGAAGGCGGCUGACUG